Molecule: long non-coding RNA, 369 nt
Filed under: Androctonus crassicauda
Lineage: Eukaryota; Metazoa; Arthropoda; Arachnida; Scorpiones; Buthidae
Source: RNAcentral
UUUAGACUUUUUAUAGUUCAGCAUGGGAUGAUGGAAAAUUCAAUUUCUAAAAAGAUAGCAAGAUUUGUAAUACAACAUUUCUCUCAACCAGAAAAUUACAGAAAGUUAGAACAGUGGGGUUUCUGCCAUGCAAUAAUGGCAGAAAUAGGUUUCGAAGAUCUGCACGAAAUCCAAUUAAUAAGGAAAAUAGCUGAAAUAUAUACUGAGAUCAAACUACAUUCAUAUGCAAAACAUUUAAUCUUGCCGAUGCAGAGGAAUACAGCAUCUACGAGACAGAAAUUGAACAAGGGAAUUUUUUUCAGUAAUGUAUAAAGAAAGCGUUAUUAAAAGUUUAAACUUCAUACAGUUAAUAUCAAAUAAAAGGCUAGC